ACGAACGCUGGCGGCGUGGAUAAGGCAUGCAAGUCGAACGGAACUUUUUUUGUUCAAGAUGCGAUUACAUCAAGUCAAGAAUGGCUGAAGUUUAGUGGCAGACGAGGUAGGAAUACUUAGGUACGUACCCCCGAGUCGGGCACAACCAACCGAAAGGUUGGCUAAUUCCCGAUGGUUCUCGCAAGAGUAAAGGAGCAAUUCGCUCGGGGAGCGGCCUAUGGGCUAUCAGCUUGUUGGUAGGGUAAUGGCCUACCAAGGCAAUGACGGCUAGGGGACCUGAGAGGGUGACCCCCACCGACGGGACUGAGACACGGCCCGUACACCUACGGGUGGCAGCAGUCGAGAAUCUUCGACAAUGGGCGAAAGCCUGAUCGAGCGACGCCGCGUGCAGGAUGAAAUCCUUCGGGAUGUAAACUGCUUUUGGCAGGGAAGAACACAAUGACGGUACCUGCAGAAUAAGGGCUUGCUAACCUCGU
RNAcentral lists this ribosomal RNA (476 nucleotides) under uncultured bacterium. RNAcentral describes it as "bacterial SSU rRNA". It matches the Rfam family "Bacterial small subunit ribosomal RNA", at positions 29 to 506 of the family's 1533-position model. The record is from RNAcentral.